Molecule: ribosomal RNA, 256 nt
Filed under: uncultured bacterium
Lineage: Bacteria
Description: partial 16S ribosomal RNA
Rfam family: Bacterial small subunit ribosomal RNA
Source: RNAcentral
UACGUAGGGUGCGAGCGUUAAUCGGAAUUACUGGGCGUAAAGCGUGCGCAGGCGGUGAUGUAAGACAGAUGUGAAAUCCCCGGGCUCAACCUGGGAGCUGCAUUUGUGACUGCAUCGCUGGAGUGCGGCAGAGGGGGAUGGAAUUCCGCGUGUAGCAGUGAAAUGCGUAGAUAUGCGAAGGAACACCGAUGGCGAAGGCAGCCCCCUGGGCUAACACUGACGCUCAGGCACGAAAGGCGUGGGGGAGCAAAACAGG